RNAcentral lists this long non-coding RNA (931 nucleotides) under Linum usitatissimum (flax). RNAcentral's name for it is "long non-coding RNA (LUSI_LNC006164)". The record is from RNAcentral. Lineage: Eukaryota; Viridiplantae; Streptophyta; Magnoliopsida; Malpighiales; Linaceae.
UUUAAAUGGACAAGCAAGUGGAGAAAUACAGGGGGGUGAGGGUUUUUUUUUGGGGGCGGAAAAUUUUCUGCACCCUAAGUCCCAGUCCAAAAUAAAGAAAAAAAUUAUUACGACAAGUUACAAGAACGAGCUAAACUAAGUACAACCGAUUCUACCGCCAUUCACUUUGUCGUCAUUCGCAAGGGGCUACAACCUGAAACACGACAAAAAAAAAAAAAAAAAAAAAAACAAAAACCACACCGCCGCCAUACUCGAGCUAACUUAUUUACUUUGUGAUUAUUAUAGUUUACUUAUAUUAAUUUAUAAUAUGACAAUUUAUGAAAUUUGUAAUAAUUUAGCGAUAAAAAAGGGGAAUUCGUAAAAUUUCCCAGUUAUGUUUGAUACUUCAUUGUUGUCGGUUUCUGAGGCCCGCUAAGGUUCAAAACUGAACAAGUUGCUGAAAUUUUAUCAAGGAUUACACUAAAUGAUAACAUUUAAAAAAAAAAGGGUAAUUUUUAAAAAGUUCAGAUUUCUAAACUCAUCAUAACAACAAAAUAGUCCAGAUUUUAGUUCAAGCGACCUACUCAAACAAAACUACCAUCAUCGACCAAGUAAAAUCAGAAUUAGUGAAGGGUUUAACCUUUUACCUUUCUCGUCCUUUGCUCCGGCGAGUCCGUCUUUGACGGAAACUUUUUCGGCCUCUCCGGCUCCGUCGAUCCCCAUCUUUAUUGCAACAUAAACCAACAUCAAGAAACAGAAAUCAGGAAAAGAACAUAAAAACAAAAAAACUCAGAUCGUAACUCCACAGAUCGGGGAUUGCAAACAACAUGCAAGCCCAAAUCGAAGUCAAAACGAAAAGAAUUAAUUAGAAGGAGGGGUUUUCAUGUUUUUACCUUUUCUUCCUCCUGUUUUUUCUUGCUUUGUUCGUUGUGGGAGGAGAGUGGAGGCGGAG